RNAcentral lists this long non-coding RNA (333 nucleotides) under Vigna radiata. RNAcentral describes it as "long non-coding RNA (VRAD_LNC001955)". The record is from RNAcentral. Lineage: Eukaryota; Viridiplantae; Streptophyta; Magnoliopsida; Fabales; Fabaceae.
AAGUGACUAGGUUUUAGAUGAGAAAAAACUAGAGGAAAAAAAAAAGAAGAAAGGCUGAGAGAAAGAGAAAAAGAAGAAAAGAAGGAGGAUGUGAAGAAAAAUAGGGAGAGAGAGAGAAGAAGAAAGUUUGACUGAGAAAGAGAAUGAGGUAGAAAAGAAAGAAGAAGAGAGAGAAGAAAAAGAAAGGUUGAGUGAAAAACAAAAAGAUGAAGUAGAGAGGAAAAGAAGAGAGUGAGAGAAAAGAAGGGAUAAAAAGUGUGGUUGAGAGAAAAGAAGACGGGAAGAAUGUGGAAGAAAAAAGAAAAGAAGAAAAAGAGGUUGAGAGAGAAAAGG